This 460-nucleotide ribosomal RNA is filed under the name uncultured bacterium. RNAcentral's name for it is "partial 16S ribosomal RNA". It matches the Rfam family "Bacterial small subunit ribosomal RNA", at positions 338 to 795 of the family's 1533-position model. The record is from RNAcentral.
CCUACGGGCGGCAGCAGUGAGGAAUAUUGGUCAAUGGACGAGAGUCUGAACCAGCCAAGUAGCGUGAAGGAUGACUGCCCUAUGGGUUGUAAACUUCUUUUAUAUGGGAAUAAAAUGUUCCACGUGUGGGAUUUUGUAGGUACCAUAUGAAUAAGGAUCGGCUAACUCCGUGCCAGCAGCCGCGGUAAUACGGAGGAUCCGAGCGUUAUCCGGAUUUAUUGGGUUUAAAGGGAGCGUAGGUGGAUUGUUAAGUCAGUUGUGAAAGUUUGCGGCUCAACCGUAAAAUUGCAGUUGAAACUGGCAGUCUUGAGUACAGUAGAGGUGGGCGGAAUUCGUGGUGUAGCGGUGAAAUGCUUAGAUAUCACGAAGAACUCCGAUUGCGAAGGCAGUUCACUGGACUGCAACUGACACUGAGGCUCGAAAGUGUGGGUAUCAAACAGGAUUAGAUACCCCUGUAGUC